Molecule: ribosomal RNA, 988 nt
Filed under: uncultured bacterium
Lineage: Bacteria
Description: bacterial SSU rRNA
Rfam family: Bacterial small subunit ribosomal RNA
Source: RNAcentral
CCUACGGGAGGCAGCAGUCGGGAAUCUUGCGCAAUGGGCGAAAGCCUGACGCAGCAACACCGAGUGAGCGACGAAGGCCUUCGGGUCGUAAAGCUCUGUUGUUGGGGACGAAGGGUUAGGGGUUAAUAGCCCCGAGCCUGACGGUACCCUUCGAGGAAGCCCCGGCUAACUACGUGCCAGCAGCCGCGGUAAUACGUAGGGGGCGAGCGUUGUCCGGAAUUAUUGGGCGUAAAGAGCGUGUAGGCUGUUCGGUAAGUCUGCCGUGAAAACCUGAGGCUCAACCUCGGGCGUGCGGUGGAUACUGCCGGGCUAGAGGACGGUAGAGGCGAGUGGAAUUCCCGGUGUAGCGGUGAAAUGCGCAGAUAUCGGGAGGAGCACCAGUAGCGAAGGCGGCUCGCUGGGCCGUUCCUGACGCUGAGACGCGAAAGCUAGGGGAGCGAACAGGAUUAGAUACCCUGGUAGUCCUAGCUGUAAACGAUGGACACUAGGUGUGGGGGGAGUCGAAUCCCUCUGUGCCUGGCUAACGCGUUAAGUGUCCCGCCUGGGGAGUACGGCCGCAAGGCUAAAACUCAAAAGAAUUGACGGGGGCCCGCACAAGCAGCGGAGCAUGUUCUUUAAUUCGAUGCAACGCGAAGAACCUUACCUGGACUUGACAUGGUGCUGCAAGCGCACGGAAACGUGUGACCUUCGAGGGGCACCACACAUGCUGCGUGGCUGUCGUCAGCUCGUGUCGUGAGAUGUUGGGUUAAGUCCCGCAACGAGCGCAACCCCUGUGGCGUGUUGCCAUCAUUAACUUGGGGACUCACGCCAGACUGCCGGUGACAACCGGAGGAACGUGGGGAUGAGUCAAGUCGUCUUGUCUCUUAGUCCAGGGCAAAACUUGCUACAUGCUGAUACAAGGGUGCAGACCCAAGUGACCCAAUCUCCUUUAUCAUUCAAGUUCGAUCGCAUCUGCACCGCCUGAUGACGAGGAUUGGCAUAUCCUCGU